RNAcentral lists this ribosomal RNA (864 nucleotides) under uncultured archaeon. Its description in RNAcentral is "bacterial SSU rRNA". It matches the Rfam family "Archaeal small subunit ribosomal RNA", at positions 21 to 903 of the family's 1478-position model. The record is from RNAcentral.
GGCGACCGCUUUUGGAGUUCGAUUAAGCCAUGCGAGUCGAGAGCCUUAGGGGCUCGGCAUACUGCUCAGUAACACGUGGAUAACCUGCCCUAUUGUCUGGAAUAACCUCGGGAAACUGAGAACAAGGCCGGAUAGCCUACAAUGCCUGGAACGGUUUGUGGGUGAAGAUAGGAUGGGUCUGCGGCGUAUCAGGUCGUAGGGGGUGUAAUGGACCUCCUAGCCAUCGACGCGUACGGGUGUUGGGAGACAUAGCCCGGAGAUGGAUUCUGAGACACGAAUCCAGACCCUACGGGGUGCAGCAGGCGCGAAAACUUCACACUGCAGGAAACUGUGAUGAGGGAACUCCAAGUGCAUGCACUAUGUGUAUGCUUUUCUUAACUAUUAAUCGGUUUUGGAAUAAGGGCUGGGAAAGACCGGUGCCAGCCGCCGCGGUAAUACCGGCAGCUCAAGUGGUCGUCGCUUUUAUUGGGCCUAAAACGUCCGUAGCCUGUUUGGUAAAUCUGUGGGUAAAUCAACCAGCUUAACUGGUUGAAUUCUGCAGAGACUGCCAGACUAGGGACCGGGAGAGGUGUGGGGUACUCUAGGGGUAGGGGUAAAAUCCUGUCAUCCUUAGAGGACCACCAGUUGCGAAGGCGCCACACUGGAACGGAUCCGACGGUCAGGGACGAAGCCUAGGGGCACGAACCGGAUUAGAUACCCGGGUAGUCCUAGGUGUAAACGCUGUGAACUUGGUGUCGGGGAUCCGUAAUGGGUUCUCGGUGCCGGAGUGAAGAUGUUAAGUUCACUGCCUGGGGAGUACGGUCGCAAGGCUGAAACUUAAAGGAGUUGGCGGGGGAGCACUGCAACGGGAGGAGCGUGCGGUUU